Molecule: small nucleolar RNA, 214 nt
Filed under: Catagonus wagneri (Chacoan peccary)
Lineage: Eukaryota; Metazoa; Chordata; Mammalia; Artiodactyla; Tayassuidae
Description: Small nucleolar RNA U3 (ENSCWAG00000017084.1)
Rfam family: Small nucleolar RNA U3
About the family: Small nucleolar RNAs (snoRNAs) are involved in the processing and modification of rRNA in the nucleolus. There are two main classes of snoRNAs: the box C/D class, and the box H/ACA class. U3 snoRNA is a member of the box C/D class.
Source: Rfam by way of RNAcentral
AAAACUCUGCUUUCCGGAGUCAUUUCUGUAGCUCGUUACUAGACAAGUUUCUUUGAGCCUGCAGAGCCCCAGAAACUGAGAGGAGGAGGAGGAGCCACGUUCUUUUCUGAGGGUGAAACCUGCUCUUGGUGUUGCGUCUGCAGCUGCCAUUUGCCCUUGACAACCAUUCUUCUCUUCCUCUGGGAGAGGGAGAAGGAGAGGAUGCGGCCUGAGU